GGUAUGAAAGGGUUAACGAAGAAGGUGCUGUGUCUAAAAACUCAAUUUAAACUAACUUUAAGGUGAAGAGGCCUUUAUGUAAAAGAAGGACGACAAGACCCUAUGAAGCUUUAUCUUAAUUGGAGCUUUCAGGCUCUUAUACGAUUUUGAUGGGAGAUCAGUAGAAAUAAGUCUUCUACUAUCAUAUUAAUCUUACUAGUAUUUCCUAACCUUAUAUGUGUGGCUAGCUACUCUAGGGAUAACAGCGCAAUUUCUCCCGAAAGAUGGUAUUGGAGGGGAAGAUUGCGACCUCGAUGUUGGCUUUAGAUAUCCUAGAGGCGUAGAAGCUUCU
This 331-nucleotide ribosomal RNA is filed under the name Mytilus galloprovincialis (Mediterranean mussel). RNAcentral's name for it is "partial 16S ribosomal RNA". It matches the Rfam family "Bacterial large subunit ribosomal RNA", at positions 1989 to 2566 of the family's 2925-position model. The record is from RNAcentral. Lineage: Eukaryota; Metazoa; Mollusca; Bivalvia; Mytilida; Mytilidae.